CCCGCUGAACUUAAGCAUAUCAUUAAGCGGAGGAAAAGAAACUAACAAGGAUUCCCCCAGUAACGGCGAGUGAAGCGGGAAGAGCUCAAACUUUAAAUCUCCACGUUUACGUGGCGAAUUGUAGUCUAUUGAGGCUGUUGUCAGCAUAGCGACCUGGGAGAAGUCCCUUGGAAAAGGGCAGCAAAGAGGGUGAUACUCCCGUCUCUGCUCAGGUUGUCUGUGUGUACGAUACGCUUUUUUUGAGUCGAGUUGUUUGGGAAUACAGCUCAAAGUAGGUGGUAAAUUCCAUCUAAAGCUAAAUAUUGGUGCGAGACCGAUAGCGAACAAGUACCGUGAGGGAAAGAUGAAAAGAACUUUGAAAAGAGAGUUAAAGAGUACCUGAAACUGUUGAAAGGGAACCGUAUCGUUUCCAGUGUUGAAUCCUGUGUAUAUUUCAUCAGCGGAGAGAUUUGCUGGUGCCCUGUGCAUAGGUGUGACGUCAGGGUCAGUUUGUAUGCUGCGGGAGAUGGGUAGUGAGGAGGUGAUUCAUUUCGGUGAAAGUUAUACCUUGCUGUCUAGUUGCCGUGGUUGAGACUGAGGUGCCUACAAUACGCUUUGGGGUUCGGUGUUGUCUCGUUUUGGUGACUGCUCGGAUAGCUUGCUAUGUCUGCGGUUGAUCGAGGCGAUAGGAUGGCACUGAUAACUUCUGCUGUUCGGGACUCUGGCGAAAUGGAGCGAUACGACCCGUCUUGAAACACGG
This 739-nucleotide ribosomal RNA is filed under the name uncultured fungus. RNAcentral's name for it is "eukaryotic LSU rRNA". It matches the Rfam family "Eukaryotic large subunit ribosomal RNA", at positions 24 to 664 of the family's 3401-position model. Lineage: Eukaryota; Fungi. The record is from RNAcentral.